GAGGUGGUGGCUCAGAGGUUAAGAGCACUGACUAUUCUUCCAGAGGUCCUGAGUUCAAUUCCCAGCAACCACA
This 73-nucleotide transfer RNA is filed under the name Neotoma lepida (desert woodrat). It matches the Rfam family "tRNA". From Rfam's summary of the family: Transfer RNA (tRNA) molecules are approximately 80 nucleotides in length. The record is from Rfam by way of RNAcentral. Lineage: Eukaryota; Metazoa; Chordata; Mammalia; Rodentia; Cricetidae.